UACGAAGGGAGCUAGCGUUGUUCGGAAUCACUGGGCGUAAAGCGCACGUAGGCGGAUUUGUUAGUCAGAGGUGAAAUCCCGGGGCUCAACCUCGGAACUGCCUUUGAUACUGCAAGUCUUGAGUCCGAGAGAGGUGGGUGGAAUUCCUAGUGGAGAGGUGAAAUUCGUAGAUAUUAGGAAGAACACCGGUGGCGAAGGCGGCCCACUGGCUCGGUACUGACGCUGAGGUGCGAAAGCGUGGGGAGCAAACAGG
Molecule: ribosomal RNA, 253 nt
Filed under: uncultured bacterium
Lineage: Bacteria
Description: partial 16S ribosomal RNA
Rfam family: Bacterial small subunit ribosomal RNA
Source: RNAcentral